UCUGUUCCUCAGGAGAUUAUCUUGCCCACUUCCUGGAGAAUCUGCAUUUCAUCUUGGAGUUCUAUUAGAGGAAAGCGAUGACACUUCUCACAUGACUCCAGCCCUGCAAUUUUCUAGAUCUUAAUAUCAGCUUUUACCUUGAGUCUACUUAAACCCAAGGGAACUUGAUUCAUUGGAACCUGCCAACAUAAAGGUUGAAAAACAUUACAAGAAUAGACUUAAAAAAAAAAUCAGUUUUCUAAAACUAUUCAGAGAAUAGACUAUCAUUAAAACGAAGGUCCUCAAGACUGUGAAAUUCUCCUUCAAGAUCAUGAUUUAUUAACUAUCUUUCACUGGCGAAUAUACAGUCUUCUACUGUGAUGUCUCACUUGAAAUGCCAAGGCCACCUUUCAGGAAACAGCACACAACACAGAUCAACCGUGAAGGUGGAGGGAACUAUACAAGAGUGUGAACACUGGGAGGCAGGAAUUUGGAUCACCCUGAAGACUGUCUACCACAGUGUCUAUAAAGGUAAGAUGUAUGUGUGUUUUCUUAUUUUGAGAUUCUAGGUUUUGUUAAUACUCUAA
RNAcentral lists this long non-coding RNA (566 nucleotides) under Mustela putorius furo (domestic ferret). RNAcentral describes it as "lncRNA (ENSMPUG00000032114.1)". The record is from RNAcentral. Lineage: Eukaryota; Metazoa; Chordata; Mammalia; Carnivora; Mustelidae.